This 916-nucleotide long non-coding RNA is filed under the name Homo sapiens (human). RNAcentral's name for it is "HSALNT0369918". Lineage: Eukaryota; Metazoa; Chordata; Mammalia; Primates; Hominidae. The record is from RNAcentral.
AAAAAAAAAUCCUGAUGACAUCACUGUUCUAAGAUGGAACUUCUAAUAUUUUAGGAAUCUCUUGGGAGUUCUGUUCCCUAUUCUGUCAUUGAUUUGCUUUCUGACCUUGGGAAAGUUUAAGUAUAAAAAGACAAGUGCAAAGGAAAGUUAUGAAAACAAGACUGAGAUCAAAUGAAGAACAAAGAUGGAGUAGGUCCAUAACUGACCCACAUUCCUUGAGCUUACAAUAGAUCUCCAGGAGAUGACCACUACGCAUGAGGACAUAUUUAUCAACAUGCCUUGCCCAGUUGCUGCAGGAAAGAGGAAAUACUCUCUUAGCUCUUCCUCGUUUGAUUUUCAGAUGAUUCCAGGAAUGUUCUGCAUUGACCUAGUUUUACUUGCACAUUUUUCACGAGCAUCAAAUAGUGGAUGAUCUUUCAAGCUUGAACAGCAACAGUUGUAUUGCUGAGGAAGGAUUUCUUGUUUCAAAUUGUCUAGGUAAUGAUUUACAGCUAUUUUUGGUAAUUCUCAAAAUGACAGCUCCUUGAAUUUUUCUGUAUGCAGAAAAAUUUGCUGGGCUAGCAUCUUUCAGACCCCGGGAGGUUCAUCCCAAUCCUUGGCAUGUGGGAUCAAGGGAAUGCUCUGAAAUCCUCGCUGUAGAGGGAAUUGACUUGUCCAACAUUAUCUUGUGAUACAUGUGAAUGUUUGACGAGGUAACUCUAAAUAUCUGCGGACUCCUGAGGCCUGAGAUUUGUGGCAGGAUGAACCCAUGUGUUGGGUGAUAUUACGUAUAGGCCUUAGGCCUUCCAAGACCAAACCUGAUAAGUUGAACCUAUGAUGAUGGUUGAGCUCCUUUGAAGAGGACUCACAGUACUUUGCAGCAUCUUGCUUCAUACAGUAUUCAAUAAACGGUUGCUAAAAAGUGGAAAAGAGGGCC